GAUCAUGGCUCAGGAUGAACGCUGGCCGCGUGCCUAAUACAUGCAAGUCGAGCGGGGUAGCUUGCUACCCAGCGGCGAACGGGUGAGUAACACGUAGGUAACCUGCCUUCGAGUCCGGAAUACCCAGGCGAAAGCUUGGCUAAUGCCGGAUAACAGCGGACCCCGCCUGGGGCCCGCGUGAAAGCCGCCCCAAAGCGGCGCUCCUAGAUGGACCUGCGGCGCAUUAGCUAGUUGGCGGGGCAACGG
This 246-nucleotide ribosomal RNA is filed under the name uncultured bacterium. RNAcentral's name for it is "partial 16S ribosomal RNA". It matches the Rfam family "Bacterial small subunit ribosomal RNA", at positions 15 to 263 of the family's 1533-position model. The record is from RNAcentral.